This 243-nucleotide ribosomal RNA is filed under the name uncultured Bacillota bacterium. RNAcentral's name for it is "uncultured Firmicutes bacterium partial 16S ribosomal RNA". It matches the Rfam family "Bacterial small subunit ribosomal RNA", at positions 796 to 1041 of the family's 1533-position model. The record is from RNAcentral. Lineage: Bacteria; Bacillati; Bacillota.
CUAGCCGUAAACGAUGGGUACUAGGUGUAGGGGUUUCGAUACCUCUGUGCCGCAGUUAACGCAAUAAGUACCCCGCCUGGGGAGUACGUGCGCAAGCAUGAAACUCAAAGGAAUUGACGGGGGCCCGCACAAGCGGUGGAGCAUGUGGUUUAAUUCGAAGCAACGCGAAGAACCUUACCAGGGCUUGACAUCCCCUGCGAGCCGUGGAGACAUGGUGUCCCUUCGGGGCAGGGAGACAGGUGG